UUAUAUACUUCUUCUGGCAAAUUUCUUAAUGCAAGUUUGCAUGUUGAAUUUUGCAGCUUUCCUGAACUGGGUGCACAAGCUGGACUUUUCCUUGCAUGUUUGAGCAAUUUGAUCAUUCUCCAGAACCAAAGUGAUGCCACCUGAGUUGAUUAAGGAAAGUUUCAGAGUUGGAGCGAAUGGAGGCAAUGGAGGUGUAGAAGAUGAUGUAGUGGUUGCAAGUCUAACAAGUCUAAAGAUGGAUAUGGUUGAUAAAAUGAAGACAAGCAAAGGUGAAUCUGGAGGUGAAAGCUUAACCUGAGGACUUGCAAAAGAACGGUAAUGAAAGUCUGGAGGCAUUUUUGGCCCCUUGCUUCUUUCUUUGAGCAACUGCACUGCUAAUGUCACAUCUCCUCCUUCUAUGACAAUAAGUCCAAUUAUAACACUUUUUCUUUAAUAUCAUUUUUUUGAGUGUGCAAGAAGGAAAGUAAUUUUUGCUUUUGUUUCAAGUGUUGUCUUUCUUUCAUGGAGCUAUCAGCUUGUUACCUAAUUGUUGUGGUUGCUAAUUUACAAAUCAGUGAUGCCCAUAUGUAUCAGUUAUUUGAAAGAAAAGUUUUUAAAAUCA
Non-coding RNA from Jatropha curcas, 601 nucleotides. Lineage: Eukaryota; Viridiplantae; Streptophyta; Magnoliopsida; Malpighiales; Euphorbiaceae. The record is from RefSeq and is a predicted model, not a curated record.